RNAcentral lists this ribosomal RNA (600 nucleotides) under Metabacillus niabensis. Its description in RNAcentral is "bacterial SSU rRNA". It matches the Rfam family "Bacterial small subunit ribosomal RNA", at positions 94 to 680 of the family's 1533-position model. Lineage: Bacteria; Bacillati; Bacillota; Bacilli; Caryophanales; Bacillaceae. The record is from RNAcentral.
AGCGGCGGACGGGUGAGUAACACGUGGGUAACCUGCCUGUAAGAUUGGGAUAACUCCGGGAAACCGGAGCUAAUACCGGAUAACAUUUUGAACCGCAUGGUUCAAAAUUGAAAGACGGCUUUGGCUAUCACUUACAGAUGGACCCGCGGCGCAUUAGCUAGUUGGUGAGGUAACGGCUCACCAAGGCAACGAUGCGUAGCCGACCUGAGAGGGUGAUCGGCCACACUGGGACUGAGACACGGCCCAGACUCCUACGGGAGGCAGCAGUAGGGAAUCUUCCGCAAUGGACGAAAGUCUGACGGAGCAACGCCGCGUGAACGAUGAAGGCCUUCGGGUCGUAAAGUUCUGUUGUUAGGGAAGAACAAGUACCAGAGUAACUGCUGGUACCUUGACGGUACCUAACCAGAAAGCCACGGCUAACUACGUGCCAGCAGCCGCGGUAAUACGUAGGUGGCAAGCGUUGUCCGGAAUUAUUGGGCGUAAAGCGCGCGCAGGCGGUUUCUUAAGUCUGAUGUGAAAGCCCACGGCUCAACCGUGGAGGGUCAUUGGAAACUGGGGAACUUGAGUGCAGAAGAGGAGAGUGGAAUUCCACGUGUAGCG